GUUAUUUUAAAUUUUCUAUGAAAUUUUAUAUAUCUGAGUACAGCUAAAAACAUGUGUUCCCUUGCUAGAUAUUAGGUCAUACUAUAUUUAUACUAAAUUGAUAUUUUGUUGCCAUAAUGACGUAUCACAUAACAACAUAGAACUCGGUGGCUUAUGGCAAUAAGUUUUCUUCUGUGUCUACAGGUUGGCUGAGAUGGCUUUGCUUGAUCUUUGUAUUGGCUAUGCUGGAAUUCAGGUUUCCUGGUUUCAGGUCUGCUCUGUAUGUCGUCACAUUUCUCAUGGUGGUUCAUAGCAGGACAAAAGCCUUGGCUUGAAAUUAGCACACUGUCAUUUCUCCCUGCAUUCUGUUGGCCAAAACAAGUCACAGGGCCAGGCCCCACACCAAUAAAAUGUAGGAAAGAAUAUUCUACCUACUUCUCUGAACUGCAGAGUCAUACGACAAGAGAGACUGAGUGACUAAAUAGUCAAACUGCCUCUAGUCAAUAUAAUAAAAACUGUAUCGUAGGAGAUUAGCUUUAUAGUAAUCAUGCAAAUUUAAUAUACUAUGAAUCUGGACAAUAUGAUAGGAAGAUAAUAGUUCAAUUUGUAAAUGAUAUUCGUCCAAAUGGCUAACCAACUGAAAAGAAACACAUUUGAAUUCCUAUUUAACACUAUAUUCAAAUAAAUUUUAGCAUAAAUAUUAUAAAUUUAAAUAUCAAAAAACAAGUUAUAUCUAUAAAAAAUUUAGAGGAUUUUGGGUAGAGCUGUUUAAAUAGAAAGGCAAUUCUGAAGCUUUAAAAGAAAAUAUGGACAUAUUUAUGUAGAUUUAAAUUUUUUGCAUGUGGCAAAAAGUAACACCAGUAAACAACAUUAUUUGGGGAAAAUAUUUUUGAAAUAUAUGUGGCAGUAUAUAUAGUUUAUGAUGACCAAAUAUAGUAUAGUAAAAGUUCUUACAUACUGAUAAAGAACAAAUUCACCCAAUAGGGAAAUGAAGUUUAUAAAAAGACGUUUCAUAGGAGAGUAAAUUCCUAUCACAAAUACAUGUAUCAAAAUAAGCUGAGCCUACUUUUGUACCCAAUUUUCAGAGAAAUCAAAGAAAUCAGGAGUUCCUGUUGCAGCGCAGUGGUUAACGAAUCAGACUAGGAACCACGAGGUUGCGGGUUUGAUCCCUGCCCUCGCUCAGUGGGUUGACGAUCUGGCGUUGCCGUGAGCUGUGGUGUAGGUUGUAGAUGCGGCUUGGACCCUGUGUUGCUGUGGCUGUGGUGUAGGCCGGCGGCUACAGGUCCGAUUANAAAAAAAAAAAAAAAAAAAAAAAAAAAAAAGAAAAAAAGAAAUCAAAGUUCUCAGUAAAUUCUGAGAACUUAUUUUAUACUCAUUAUAUUGGCAAAAAUUACAAAAAGCAUGAUAACACCUACUGCUGGUGGGGAUCAUAUAAAGACACUUUAAGUAUUAAUGGUGGAAACAUGCAUCAUUGCAGGCUCUUGUGGAAAUCAAUCUGGCAGAGUUAUUAAAAUGAAAAUCACGUUAUUCAACCAGAAAUAGCAUACUAUGUGACCCUAUCCUAUAGAAAUAAAAAUAUGAACACAUAAAUAUAUAUAUGUAAGUUAACUGUUUAUUUCUUUAUUAUUCAAAGAAAUAAAACUUGGGAACCAGAUAAGAAUUUAUAAGUAGGAAUGUGCAUAAAUCAUGGCAUAUUUUUACAAAAUUAUUUUCAUGGUAUAAUUAUACAGCAUUAUUUUUAUAUAGCUAUUAGUAAGGAAGACUUAAGAGGUAACAAGAAUAGUGAGAGGACAUGGAAGGGAAGUAAGCAUCCAAACACUGAGAACAUACCAGAGACAAAGAUUCAGAGCAUUUGGGAUUCAACAAGUCUUGGUUGGGUGUUCAUUGUAACAUAGGAAACUAAUUACCAUCGUAACUGGGAAACUCAUUCUAAAUCCACAUACCUGACUUGGAGAGAAUGCUUAGAGACCCAUGUGUUUAGAACCUGGCUGGCUAUCGGCUUAUUCCCUACUUGUAGGUUCUGUGAGACCUUAGAGGGGUGGGGCUGGGGCAGAGAUCAGGAAGCUGGAGUGUGUAGUAAUUACUGGAAACCUCAACCAACCCCUGUGUCUGGGUUUGACACUCUUAUUAUACCUAAAAGAAAAUCAUAUGAUUUUAAAGCUGACUUCAUUUUACUGAAGAAGCAACCAGAGUCCAUAUAUUGAAUAAUUUAUUUGUGUUCACCAUUUUGAGGCAGAUCCAGAAGUCAAGUUCUCAUCUCUCUACACUUUGACCCUAUAUUUAUAUUGAUUUAAUGAAUUUCUGAGCAUUCUUUAAUUUUUCUUAUUUUGAAUCUUAUUUGUUUCUCACUACUAAUCACCUUCUCUUUCAAAGCAGCUUAAGGUUCCAAUUUAUUGAGUAGCUAUCUUGUGCCAGAUUCUUUGCAUACUUUGUCAUUAAUCCUUGCAACGACACUCUAAAUUUGGACAACAGUAUAACAAUUUUAACUUUGAUGAAACAGCCAAAGAAAGAUAAAUAAUUUGCCCACAGUAAGGAAAUUAUGCAGAGGGGAUCAGAACUGAUAACAGAGCCUAAGUUCUCUCUACUUCAUCACACUGCCUUCACUUCACCUCCACCUCCACCAAUUCUAGUUGGUGCCUCCUUGGGGUGAUAUUUCCCCUGUCUUUUCUUCUAAAGCAGUAGUUCUCAACUUAUGUGACUAUGAGGAAUAUUUUCUAACACCAAACAUUUUCUCAGACCAGUAUCUCAGAGUAGUUAUAUUUAAUUAUUUGCAAUUACUGAUAUAAUACAUAAUGAAAAUAAACGUAUGAAUUUAAUAAACACAUCUUUUAGAUUAAUUUACAUUUGAUUCAUCUUACAGUAUUGACAGAAAUUUGAAAAGAAUAGUGAUAUAUGCAAUCAUAUUAUCUCAUCAUUUGAAAAUGCCUGAAAUGUAUACAAAUCUCAACAUUCCUAAUUAUAUUUCAGGGGCUCCCCAGAGAUCCACAAUUCUAUGGCUGGAAGACAGUGUUCUGUAAGUUUUCAGCAUCUGUUCCUUCUGCUCCCUUAAGUUACCAGCCUGCAGUUUGCACGGGCUGGCUUUUAUCUAGAGUAAUUUUUGACUUCCUUCUGCAUUCACUGCAUGAUCAGUGGCCUUAUAAUUGGUCUGCUCAAAAUGAUGAAACAAGGUGAUAUUGGACCAGCUUCUUGCUCCUAAUCGCUUCUUGGUCCUAGAGUAAACAUUGAAGGUAGAACCUCAUUUCUCCUCUACCUCCCAGCUUUGAGGCAACACUGAAUCCUUCCACCCACCCAACCUCUUGUCAAUUCAUUUCAGAGUUGUCAUCUCUCUGUAUCACUCACCUAUCACUAACCCCUGACUUAUUUACUUGGUACAUGACAUUUACCUACCUACCACCACCAUCCUGCCCAGCUCAAUUCUAACAUAAGUGGGCCUUUUGAUUGUUUAAUCUAUGAUCUACAUCGGUGUUUAUUCGUGCUAUAAUUUGGGCUUUUGGUAGAGGCAAGAAGUGGUAUGGAGUUCUGACCUAGUGUUUGCUAAGUUUUGGUAUGGAACCAUGCUUCUUGUUUGUCUGAUCUGCAAUUCUAAUGCAAGUAAUGACUUCAAGGUUCUUGUUCAGUUCUAUAAUUUCAAGACUUUCUGAGUCACAGAAUAUUCCCUUAGGAACCCAUUCAUAUAAGAGUCCCCAUGUCAGAAUUCCUGAAUCCAGGUACUACCAUCUUUCCCACCUAUACCAUCAUACAAUAGUGUGAUCCAACUUAACGACACCAGUAUUCUGCUCUGGUCUCAUUCUAAUUUAGUUUGAGAAGCCAACCUAUUUUACUUCCUCUCACUAUCCCAUACACUCACAUACUUUGCCAGCCUUGUUUUGCCCUUGCUAGUCUUCUCCAGCUGCUGGAUUAUAGGUUUGUAACAUAUAUUUACUUAUCAGGAAAGCUGUGCUGUUUCAUUUUAGACCUUCAUUCUACUUGCCCAAAGUGUGAAUGAAUUUGGCCACAAUCUUAGAAAAAUCAUGCCCAGUAUUUCAAUUUGAGGAAACAACUCGGUAAAGCCACAAUUUUCAACAGUGGGUUAGGGUAGGAUUUUCUCUACACAUAGUCUAUAUAGGUCAAUGGAGAGAAGGUGAUGAACACUGAAUUCUUAAGAAACUUGGGUCUAAGUUGGGGAACUGAACAAGAUAUAGUCAGUAAAUCAAGAGUGGGUCAAAAAAGAUAUAAAGCAAAAUAUAAACAAGCAAUAAAAAUCCAGGUUUUUAAAUUCAAGGGGCUCAGAUAAAAUAAGUGAAAUUCAGACAUAAAUAUGGAGCAAAGGAACACUCAAACAUUGCUGGUUGCUGGUUGGAAAUGUAAAAUGGCACAGCUACUCUGGCAGUUUCUUGAAAAACUAAAAUACUGUUACCAUCCGACUCAGCAAUCUCUCUCUUGAUAUUGCCUCUGAGGAAUUCAACACAUUAAGUCCACACAAAAACCUGCACACAAAUGUUUUUAAAAUGCCCAAACUUGGAAGCAACCAUAAUAUCUUCAGUAGCUGAAUGAUAAAUUAUUGUACAUUCAUCUAAUGGGAUAUUAUUCAGUGCUAAAUAGAAAUGAGAUAUCAAGCUAUGAAAAGACGCGGGGGAAACAUUAAAUGCAUUUUACUAAGUGAGAGCGCAAGUCAAUCUGAGAAGGCUACAUACUGCAUGACUGCAACUAUGUGAUAUCCUAGGAAAAGCAAAGAUGUGGAAACAAAAAGAUCAGUGAUUGCAAAGGGUGGGAUGAUGAAGAAAUGAAAAGGUGAAUGGGCAGAGAAAACAGAAGUUUUUAGGGCAGUGAAAAUACUCUGUAUGAUAUUACAAUUAUGGAUAUGUGUCAUUGUGUUUUUUUCCAAACCCACAGAAUGUUCUACAUUAAGAGUAAACCUUAAGAUAAACUAUGGACUUUGAGUUUAAA
Molecule: long non-coding RNA, 4905 nt
Filed under: Sus scrofa (pig)
Lineage: Eukaryota; Metazoa; Chordata; Mammalia; Artiodactyla; Suidae
Description: lncRNA (ENSSSCG00015064816.1)
Source: RNAcentral